UACAGAGGUCCCAAGCGUUGUUCGGAUUCAUUGGGCGUAAAGGGUGCGUAGGUGGGUCUGUAAGUCCGUGGUGAAAUCUCCGAGCUUAACCUGGAAACUGCCAUGGAUACUAUAGAUCUUGAAUACUGUGGAGGUUAGCGGAAUAUGUCAUGUAGCGGUGAAAUGCUUAGAUAUGACAUAGAACACCAAUUGCGAAGGCAGCUGGCUACACAAAUAUUGACACUGAUGCACGAAAGCGUGGGGAUCAAACAGG
RNAcentral lists this ribosomal RNA (253 nucleotides) under uncultured bacterium. RNAcentral describes it as "partial 16S ribosomal RNA". It matches the Rfam family "Bacterial small subunit ribosomal RNA", at positions 524 to 776 of the family's 1533-position model. The record is from RNAcentral.